Molecule: long non-coding RNA, 731 nt
Filed under: Mus caroli (Ryukyu mouse)
Lineage: Eukaryota; Metazoa; Chordata; Mammalia; Rodentia; Muridae
Description: lncRNA (MGP_CAROLIEiJ_G0005089.1)
Source: RNAcentral
GGUGGUAUCUGCUCCACAUGCCCUACAGUACAUGGUUUGCUGUCCACCCGACUGGUGGCUUACCAGUGUUCAUAUGGCCUACUAUCAGACUCUGUUGGCACUGCCCAGGCCACCAGGAGGCCAGGAGAGUGGCCUUGAGAGUUGCCCCAUUGAUGGUGGUCCGAGGCCCAAGAUCACCAGGACUCAAGUUCUGUACUCUGUUGAAGAUCUGGCAUUCAUCUCAAGAGACCCCAACAACCGCUUUGAUCCAGAAAAAGAACUCUGAUAUGUACCAUCAGGAAAGAUGAUUCUACCACAAGAACAAGUGCUGACAAUGAUAAGACAAAUGCAUCAAUGGACCUACCUGAGGAUAUCAAGUUAACUCAAACUGCCUUAAGAUCUAAGAAUUAUGUUCCAGGACUGAAACAACCUGGUGGAACAAAUAGUUCACAGUUGUGUUCCCUGCCAAAAGGUAAAUGCUUGCAGAUGCAAAGCUGACCCCAGUAAGAGACCUCAGGGAGAUAAGCCAGGAACCCACUGGGAAGUGGAUUUCACCGAGAUAAAACCAGUCAAGAAUUUUAAUCUGAAUUAUUCAUAGAAGUGUCCUAAGAAAUUGAAAAUAUUUCAUUACUGAGUGACAUAUUUCUUCGAUGGAAGGCUAUACAAGCCAGAGGAGUUGACAGGAACAGAAGAAAAUUACAAAUAAAAUUACUGAUAACAUAGUACCUAGAAGCCACAACUGUUGUCAUUUG